UAAUAAUAAAAAAACCAGAAGACUAGAAUAAAAACAGAGUGCCUGUCUUAGAGAGUGAAAGAGAGAGAGAGAACUCGGUCACAAUGAGAGGCCAUUUCCUCACCGUGGGAGGAGAUCUAAAGACCAUGAGCCACUGCCUGAGGAGACUCUCACCUCCCGCUGGGUCUCCCAGACCUGGGAGCGUACGUUGGCUGCACACUGCGCUGUGGUCUCCUGAUGGCGCUGGAGCAGGAGCCAGGACCAACUUCCUGCAGGAUGGACGCACAGCAGGUCCUAUUGUCGCUGGAAGCCUGCCUUCCUCUUGGGAUGACCUGUGCUCGCAGGGCUGUGCUUCAGCAAUUUAUCCCAAGCAAAGAUGAGACCCGUCACCUGCAGGAGGAACUGGUUUAUCCAUUUGAGCUUGUUUUUGUGGCGGCCAUAGAAAAGACGGGGCGGCUUAAACAAUGGGAAUUGAUUGCCUCUCAGUUCUGGAGGCCAAAGUCCGAGAUCAAGGUGUCAGCAGGUUGGUUCCUUCGAGGCCGUGAGAAUCUGCUCCAGGCUCUCCCCCAGCUUCUGGUGGUUUCCCACAGUGUGGCGUUCCUUGGCUUGUAGAUGCGUCACCUGAUCUGAUUUCUGCCCCAUCGUCACAUGGCGUUCUACCUGUGUGUCUCUGGGUCUAAAUUUCCCCUUUUUUAGGGACAUCAGUCAUCCUGGAUUAGGGCCACCCUACUCCAGUGGGACCUCAUCUUAACCAGUCACAUUUGCAGGGACCCUUUCCAAAUAAGGUCACAUUCUGAGGUACUGGAGGUCAGGACUUCACCACGUGAACUUUAAGGACCCCUAAUACCACCUGCCAACACAGACCUUCAGGCCAGUUUCUGGGAAAGGGCCCAUCAGGCCCAGGGGAGUUUCCCCGCUGGAUGUUGACUGCAUUUUCUAAAAAUAAAAGCAAAUACUUUGCACUUUCUUCUAAUUAAGAAACAGAGCACAGCUCAGGGAGCCUUGUCUUCUUGCUAUUUUAUUUCCUCUCAUGGUUGGAUGUGGCCCCUGACGCCGGGGCCCCGGCUGGGGGGCGUGGCGCCCACGUUUCCAAGGAGACUGCAGACGUGGCUCCCACGGCUGCCUCGGGAGGACCCACGCAGUCGGUCGGAAGCUGUGAGCGAUCCGCGUGCAGAGUCCACUGGGGCCUCAAACCCGUCACCGGAGCACCUCUCGGAAGAGGCUGUGGUCCAGCAGGGAAAGCGCCAUCUCUAAGCCACGUCGACGUGUGCUCCAUUUGUCAGGUUGCUUCUACGGCCGCGACGCCAAAGCAUUCCGGUUUCUUGUUCGUGGGCUGAAAGUGUUUUUGUCCUGAGCCUGGUUGCUGUGGACAGAAAAAUGUGUACGGAAAUUCAACUGGCACGUGGUCGCCAGUAACAGUGAGAACAGUAAUGAUGCUGCCUCGAUGUGCCUCUAGCAUCUCACAUAAGAGAAACGGCCCCACAAACCCGUGGAUCCCUGCCCGUGGCUGCCCUCGGGCCACGUGUGGACGCGCAUGGUGAUGGAGACGGUGAUAACUGGCUUGUGGACGGGCCUGGCACUGUCAUGUGCAUCAUUUAUGCCCAACAGGCUCAUGAGACAGGCAUGCGUGUCUCCUCUGGAACAGGAAGUUGUUUAAGGAACAGACUGGUUAGCAGUCCUGACCACUAGGGUAAAAAGCUACAUCACUUGUCUUGUCUGUUCUAGAAAAGUGCAGACUUUGCAGCCACACCACGAUCACCGAAAGAACAGCUGUCUCCCGGGGGUGACUCCUCUGUGAGCAUCAGAAACUCGGACAGCAAGCCUGGCGGCACCUUCUAGGAAAACCUGCAAAGCCCACUCUCCCCAGAGGUCCAAAGCACCAUAAGCAGGACCCAAGAAUGCACUGCCCGGGAAGGUGCCGUGCUGGGCCCAGGGUAGCUGCAUACAGCAGGCGCUCCAUAAAGACUUCUGAGAGAGUCCGUGAUUGAACCUAGUACCUGCCAAAUUCCCUACCUUCUCCCAAGAGCUACUUAAAUCCACCCCUCUCCAAAGAACCAGCUGAUAGUCCUAAGAGAUCCACCAUUUGUACUUGUGUGCCUUGUAUCUGGCUAGAUAGAUGAGAGAGAGAUACGUAGAUAGAUAUAGAGAUGAUUAGCAACAUAGAGAUAGAUUUAAUUUGGGGAAAAGAAAGCUUAUCGUAUAAGAUGGUCUUUUGACUUGAAAAGCAGUUUCCUCAAGUCAGUAACCUUUAUUCCUUUUGGGUGAACUCGUGGUCAUUUGCAGCCAUUUUCUAAUCAAAGCAUGCCUGUGCCUAGGGUUGUCCAUUUCCCCCUAUAUUUGCCCUUAAUCCUCCUCCAUGCACGUAAGCGGAAGUGGACCUAAACCACACAGCAACGCUAAACAUGUGGCAGUCACUGGACUGGAAGUCCCUCCAGGACAAGCGCCAGGAAGCAGUAGUUUGUGUCCCGCCCUCAGGCCUGGAAGCCAGUCUCUGGCACACAGUGGCUGCUGACGAAUGUUUGCUAAAGAAAUGAGUGAGCACAGGAAUAACAAACGCAUAAUUAUCAAUAAGACGUAAUCAUGAAGAAUAGUGAGUAACUGUUCCCCUGUAACUGAAAAUCAUCACCAUGACGGCGAAGUUAUGCCCUCGAGGCACCCGCCAUGUGCCGGCGCUGUCGGGUUGAACACCCCAUUAGACCCCACGCCAAUUUUCUGUGGGCCAUGUCAUCUUAGGCCAUUUCACAGGUGUGGGCUCUCAGGCCCAGAGGCUGCGUAACUCUCCCCUAGCGAGCCCUGGGGUGUGAGCCCAGGGACCUGCAAGAGACCCCAGGGGUGAUUCGAGCCCCUUUCAAGGACACCUGGAGAACCUGCACCAGAGAGUGUCCCGGAGGCCACUCACAGCAGUACUGACCAGCUCUGAGGACUAGGUCUCGGUUUCUCUAACUCUGACGGCCGCCCAGCGCCUCUGCCUGUCUUUCGCUUGGCUGAUUCCACCUGCGCUAAGUGCUGGAAAGGUCGCCGCCGAACAAUGAGGCGCUGGUCUACUGCUCAAGUGUUGACUGCAGGAGAUGAUUUCCACCUAAGGAGCCGGCAGCAAGCGCUUCCCGCCUCCCUGUUGUGACACGGAGGGGACCGUGAGCCCUGGUGCCCUGCAGAGCUUGGCUCCUGCGGAACGGGAUGACCCUCACCCUACACCCCCAGCCUACGUGGGCAGAUUUAUCUAGAACUUUCUCCUGUCUCCAAAGAUAAAAUCAUCUCCCCUAAAGUGCUCUUGAGGAGUCAGUUUUCCUGAUACUCUCUUCCUGUCUGGAGAUGGCCUCAAUGUUUAGCGUUGAUUUAAGUACAAAAUGGACUUUUGCUUCUUCAUCUUCCAAGACCCCCCAAGUUUGCAGCGAUUCGUCUAAACUAGGUUAGAAGUCAACCCCAGAGUCUUUGUAGAUAAACGUUGACCUCAGAAGACAGGCAUUGUAUUUGUCUCUUGCCAACAGGCUUUGGGAGCCUCAGAAUUGGAGGGGAUGAGCAGAUUUAACACCCCUUGAGGACCAAUGUAUUGGGUUGAACCAUUAGAAAUUACUGUGUGUGCAGAUCAAAAAGGGUCCAACCCCCACAAUUUCAUUGGUCCAACUCUACCCCUGGAAGCCUUCCUUCCAGGUGCCCCUGCCCGAUGGAGCAGCUCGCCCACCCCUCAGGCUUCCUUCCGGAAGGGUGUCACCUCUCCUCUCUCCAUCCGUGGUUCUCACACAACACCCAAGCUCCGCUGGGAGCAGAUGCACAUCCACCCAGUCCUGUCACCACAGAUGGGAGGCUUCCUUUGCUGAAUGGCCUUCCUCGGAAUUCCAGCCUCCUCCCCAAAUGGACACACAAAAUGCCCAGCACACGAGCCGGCUCACAACAGUCAGCCUUUUGUUCAUUUGUUCCACAAGCAGAGCAAUCCCAGGUCUUUAGGACUCACUGUUCAGGGCUACACUGAGCUCCUCACUGACUUUCCCAAAGAUAUAAAAGUAUAGACGCCAGAACAUCAUCCUUUCGAGCCUCUGUACCCUCAGAAUUGUGAGGCAAAGAGGUUAAGUAGGGCUCCAAGGAGUGAACCUCUGGUGUGAAAUUCCAGCCACCAGAGCAGGGGGACUGCUUGGAAACACUCGCCCUCCUUCCUGGGCUGGAAUAGUUCCCUUACGCUACUAGGGGGCAUGAUGCCACUGACCAGGUAAUAGGACCUUUCCCUGACGCUUGGUCAUUUUUAUCUUAAUCUUAACUCUUACUGGUGUCUGUCACAUUCCAAUGGAAAUCCGACUAACCCUCCCGCCAUCUUCCUGGCUGAAGGGGAGUGGAAAUGGGAACGUUUCUGUGGGACACGGGGCGUGGGAAACAGUGAGGGGUAGAAGCGAAGAGCCCGUCAGAUCCCGGAUCCACCUCCUGCUAGCUGUGUGAUCUUGAUUAAGUUACUUCAGCCCUCUGAACAUCUGCUUCAUCAUCUCUAAGUUGCGGGGGAUGGUACCUUAACUUACAGGGUUAUUGUGAGGAUUAAAUGAAUUGAUACAGGUGAAGGACUUGGGCAGAGCCUGCUUCCUAAGGAGUGCUAGGCAAUUUUACUAGACUUUUUGCUUUUUAUUAAGGUAUAAUUAACAUGCAGUGAAAUUCAUCCUUUUUAGCGUACAGUUCUGCAAGUUUUGAGAUAUGUUUGGAGUCACAUCACCCCACCACAAAUGAGAUGGAGAACAGGUCCGUCACCAAAAGCUCCCAUGCUUCUGUGUAGUCAAUUCCUUCCCCAGGCCUAAAAAAUACUGACCUGUUUCCUGUCCCCAUAAUUUUGCCUUUUCCAGAAGGUCAUGUAAGUGGUAUUGCAUACGAUGUACUCUUUCAAGUCUGGCUUCUCAAUUAGCACAAUGCAUUUGAGAUUGAGCCAUGCUGUUGUGUCUGUCACAGUUCAUUCCUCUUUAUUGCUCAGUGAUAUUCCACCCGAACCAUACUUUGUUUAUUAAUUUGUCAGUAGAAUGACAUUUGACUUGUUUCCAGGUCUUGGAAUUACAAAUAAAGCCACUGUCAACAUUGACAUACAAGUUUUUGGAUGAAUAUAAAUUUUCAUUUCAUUUAGGUAAAUAUCUAAAGGUUGUACUCAUGGAGUUCUGGGAAGACUGAAGGAGGUAAAGAAGAAAUCAAAUAAAAAUCAAAAUGAAAAACUAUCAGUUCUGGGCAAAACCCUUCAAACUGUGGGAAGAUCUUCAGGACAUUCUUUCCAGUAAAUGGAAGAGGAGGAGCAUGGCUCAGAAGAGGCGCAGAGCGGUCAGCACGGCCGCCAGCUCCGAGGGGCUCCCUACAGCAGGAAACCCACCCACCCACCCCACCCUCAGGAAUAAAGGACUUAUGUAGACACACAGGUAUGGUUAGCCACCCAUAGAAGGAGAGCUGUUUCGUUCAUGAAAUCCGAAGAAGAGUUCACUUAUUUAGACCAUUUAUUUAGACGUCAAGCUAGAGGGUAU
RNAcentral lists this long non-coding RNA (5456 nucleotides) under Equus caballus (horse). RNAcentral describes it as "lncRNA (ENSECAG00000050962.1)". The record is from RNAcentral. Lineage: Eukaryota; Metazoa; Chordata; Mammalia; Perissodactyla; Equidae.